This 436-nucleotide ribosomal RNA is filed under the name uncultured bacterium. RNAcentral describes it as "partial 16S ribosomal RNA". It matches the Rfam family "Bacterial small subunit ribosomal RNA", at positions 338 to 789 of the family's 1533-position model. The record is from RNAcentral.
CCUACGGGGUGCAGCAGUGGGGAAUAUUGGGCAAUGGGCGCAAGCCUGACCCAGCAACGCCGCGUGAAGGAAGAAGGCUUUCGGGUUGUAAACUUCUUUUAAGGGGGAAGAGCAGAAGACGGUACCCCUUGAAUAAGCCACGGCUAACUACGUGCCAGCAGCCGCGGUAAUACGUAGGUGGCAAGCGUUGUCCGGAUUUACUGGGUGUAAAGGGCGUGCAGCCGGAGAGACAAGUCAGAUGUGAAAUCCACGGGCUCAACCCGUGAACUGCAUUUGAAACUGUUUCCCUUGAGUGUCGGAGAGGUAAUCGGAAUUCCUUGUGUAGCGGUGAAAUGCGUAGAUAUAAGGAAGAACACCAGUGGCGAAGGCGGAUUACUGGACGAUAACUGACGGUGAGGCGCGAAAGCGUGGGGAGCAAACAGGAUUAGAUACCCCC